GCGGCGGACGGGUGAGUAACACGUGGGUAACCUGCCUGUAAGACUGGGAUAACUCCGGGAAACCGGGGCUAAUACCGGAUGGUUGUUUGAACCGCAUGGUUCAAACAUAAAAGGUGGCUUCGGCUACCACUUACAGAUGGACCCGCGGCGCAUUAGCUAGUUGGUGAGGUAACGGCUCACCAAGGCAACGAUGCGUAGCCGACCUGAGAGGGUGAUCGGCCACACUGGGACUGAGACACGGCCCAGACUCCUACGGGAGGCAGCAGUAGGGAAUCUUCCGCAAUGGACGAAAGUCUGACGGAGCAACGCCGCGUGAGUGAUGAAGGUUUUCGGAUCGUAAAGCUCUGUUGUUAGGGAAGAACAAGUACCGUUCGAAUAGGGCGGUACCUUGACGGUACCUAACCAGAAAGCCACGGCUAACUACGUGCCAGCAGCCGCGGUAAUACGUAGGUGGCAAGCGUUGUCCGGAAUUAUUGGGCGUAAAGGGCUCGCAGGCGGUUUCUUAAGUCUGAUGUGAAAGCCCCCGGCUCAACCGGGGAGGGUCAUUGGAAACUGGGGAACUUGAGUGCAGAAGAGGAGAGUGGAAUUCCACGUGUAGCGGUGAAAUGCGUAGAGAUGUGGAGGAACACCAGUGGCGAAGGCGACUCUCUGGUCUGUAACUGACGCUGAGGAGCGAAAGCGUGGGGAGCGAACAGGAUUAGAUACCCUGGUAGUCCACGCCGUAA
This 725-nucleotide ribosomal RNA is filed under the name Bacillus sp. (in: firmicutes). RNAcentral describes it as "bacterial SSU rRNA". It matches the Rfam family "Bacterial small subunit ribosomal RNA", at positions 95 to 805 of the family's 1533-position model. The record is from RNAcentral. Lineage: Bacteria; Bacillati; Bacillota; Bacilli; Caryophanales; Bacillaceae.